Molecule: ribosomal RNA, 471 nt
Filed under: uncultured bacterium
Lineage: Bacteria
Description: bacterial SSU rRNA
Rfam family: Bacterial small subunit ribosomal RNA
Source: RNAcentral
UAGUCCACGCCGUAAACGAUGAUAACUAGCUGUCCGAACCCACAGGGUUUGGGUGGCGCAGCUAACGCAUUAAGUUAUCCGCCUGGGGAGUACGGUCGCAAGAUUAAAACUCAAAGGAAUUGACGGGGGCCUGCACAAGCGGUGGAGCAUGUGGUUUAAUUCGACGCAACGCGCAGAACCUUACCAACCCUUGACAUACUCGUCGCGAUUACCAGAGAUGGUUUUCUUCAGUUCGGCUGGACGAUGUACAGGUGCUGCAUGGCUGUCGUCAGCUCGUGUCGUGAGAUGUUGGGUUAAGUCCCGCAACGAGCGCAACCCUCACUGUUAGUUGCCAGCAUUUAGUUGGGCACUCUAGCAGAACUGCCGGUGCUAAGCCGGAGGAAGGUGGGGAUGACGUCAAGUCCUCAUGGGCCCUUACGGGGUAGGGGCUACACACGUGCUACAAUGGCGCUGACAGAGGGGUUAAUCCCU